UGGACGGAGAACACGGCAAAAUCUCACCCUUAACAGCUAUAGUGCAAAUGUUUUUGACCCCGAUUGCCUUAGACCUACUUUUUUCUCUGGCCUAGGAGUGGAGUACAGCUAAAGCGUGUGCAAUUUGCUUUGGGAUGCCGUUGAAAGCUUUGUGGCGUGGCCAGAAUGACACGGUUUCCCACGAGCGAUUUUUAGUUUUCCGUGAAGAGUUGGCAAGGCUGGGGUAUAUGCCACUGGAUGCAAUUUCUGCUCCCCAUUCACAGCUCUCUGGCAUUCCUUUCCAGCAUGAAGCCAUCGCAAUGCUCAGCUCUCAAAGCAAAAAUCGAUGCAGCCAUUAGCUAUGCUAAAUUGAAAUCUUAUGAACUACGGUGUGGUUACAUAAAAUGCCAAUUAGUAUGUGGUUUACAUUGUUGCACAUAAAUGUUUUUCAUUAUAUUGUACUGUCAGCAAAUGCUGGUGUGAAACCAGUUUCCAUUCCUCAUAUGGCCACCAUGAGGAGUUUCAGAAAACACACCAGCACGGCUGAAGUAUUCCUUCAGAUUUGUUGUUCGCCCGUCCCCCGGCAACUUCGACUUCUCCACCCAAAGCAACAGGAAUGGAAAUUUUCAUCAUGGAUGGGCACGGCAUAAAAUGCGGCAUUUGUUUGUUCAGCCUCUGUUGCGACAUACGCUCCACGCUCUCCUGCACGCAUCAAAGCCUGAACAAGUGCAGAAAGCAGCAGCUCCCGCUUGCUGCUACUGCUGUUUGUUGUGGUUAUGAAAUCCUAUUUUAGAUAACGUUGCUUCGUCAAUAAAGUGUUGAGUCAUAGGAUCUGAGAAAUAUUGUACACAUAACCACUGGGGACCUGUAUCUAUUAAGCUGUCUAGGAUGCUUCCUAUUAAAUAAUAACAAAAUGCCGUAAUAAUAACUUGGCAGCCUUUUGCCUCUGUCGGUCAGAUAUGUGCUUGCCUGCUUUCCCAAACUCCUUGUAAGCAUCCUAGCAAGAUGUAGAAUAGGAAGGAAGGCCAUCUCACUCCUGACUUUUGCCUGGACAAGUUCUUAGUCAGUAACUGUCUUAGGGAUUUAUCGCCCCUUCUACGCUUCUCUUUGAAUCACCGCAAGCGGCAGUGAAGUAUGUUGUUACACGGUGCAUUUCCUGAUAACGCCGGGACAGCGUGUGAAUUCGACAGUCUGGGAUCUUGGCAGGUUUCACAUGAGGAGCUGGCUGGGCGGGACAGCAUCUCUAACAGCAGGAGCCACCUCUCAGGAAAUGCUGCAGAAAGAGCUGCUAAUUUGGAUAGCUGGGACAUUUUCCCUGUGAAUGAAUUGCCCAGACAAACACGAAGAGUUGGGUGGGACCCUGUUCUGUUGAAAGGUCCAUCUAUUGGAUAAGACCUUAAACAAGGGCUAGAGAUACCCGUGCAUCAGGAAAGACUCACCAAAACUAUUGAAAAGACCCGAGGUAUUAGCCCCAGAAGCUCAGCAAGACUCCAGCUUUACAUCUUGCCUGUAGACAAUUGGCGAGUAAACUGGACAAGACACUUGAAUUGCAAAGUUUGAUAGAUAAAAAACAAUUAAUACGUGAAAUCUGUCGUUGUUCCUUGAAUGGCAGUUUUGUCAUCCCCAGUCCAAAGUCUUUGCAAACGAUUCGUUGAGGUUUAUUCUCUGCCAUUGCUAUUGAUACAUGCAUUGUAAAAUUCUACCACUACUUGCUGUUCCUCCCAACUCCGUAGCCUCAGAUUGGGUUUUUUGGGUGUGUGUCUGGGAAAAUUUGGGCCCUAAAUAUUUGUUAAGAAGGUGUGGACCACCAAACUACUCUCCCAUUUUAUCAGAGACUUCUGGGUUAGGUAGCACCAGCCAGGAUGUGUUUCCCAGCUGUGAAGUUCUGCAGAGGACAUUUCCAAGGAGACCACAUUUGUGUUUGCUCAAUACAAGACCAUGGAGAUGAAACAGAGGAAAGAACAAAUAUAGAGUAGUGAUUCCAGCAUGUGGGUUUUGUGAUGCAAAAAUAUCAUCCAGAGGGCUUUUUAUUUUGCAUGAAUUCAGUUUUGUGUCCAAAUGAGAUUAUAUUAUUAUAAUUAUACUUAACCUCA
Molecule: long non-coding RNA, 2072 nt
Organism: Alligator mississippiensis (American alligator)
Lineage: Eukaryota; Metazoa; Chordata; Crocodylia; Alligatoridae
Exons: 2
Source: RefSeq, a predicted model, not a curated record